UACGUAGGGGGCAAGCGUUGUCCGGAUUUAUUGGGCGUAAAGAGCUCGUAGGUGGUUUGGUAAGUCGGCUGUGAAAUCUCCAGGCUCAACCUGGAGGGGUCAUUCGAUACUGCCAUGACUAGAGGUCGGUAGGGGAGUGUGGAAUUCCUGGUGGAGCGGUGAAAUGCGCAGAUAUCAGGAGGAACACCGGUGGCGAAGGCGGCACUCUGGGCCGGUACUGACGCUGAGGAGCGAAAGCGUGGGGAGCGAACAGG
RNAcentral lists this ribosomal RNA (254 nucleotides) under uncultured bacterium. RNAcentral describes it as "partial 16S ribosomal RNA". It matches the Rfam family "Bacterial small subunit ribosomal RNA", at positions 524 to 776 of the family's 1533-position model. The record is from RNAcentral.